UACAGAGGGGGCAAGCGUUGUUCGGAUUUACUGGGCGUAAAGGGCGCGUAGGCGGCCAGCGCAAGUCAGUUGUGAAAUCUCCGGGCUUAACUCGGAAAGGUCAACUGAUACUGCGCGGCUAGAGUGCAGAAGGGGCAACUGGAAUUCUCGGUGUAGCGGUGAAAUGCGUAGAUAUCGAGAGGAACACCUGCGGCGAAGGCGGGUUGCUGGGCUGACACUGACGCUGAUGCGCGAAAGCCAGGGGAGCGAACGGG
Molecule: ribosomal RNA, 254 nt
Filed under: uncultured bacterium
Lineage: Bacteria
Description: partial 16S ribosomal RNA
Rfam family: Bacterial small subunit ribosomal RNA
Source: RNAcentral